RNAcentral lists this ribosomal RNA (271 nucleotides) under uncultured bacterium. RNAcentral describes it as "partial 16S ribosomal RNA". It matches the Rfam family "Bacterial small subunit ribosomal RNA", at positions 524 to 794 of the family's 1533-position model. The record is from RNAcentral.
UACAGAGGGUGCAAGCGUUAAUCGGAAUUACUGGGCGUAAAGCGCGCGUAGGUGGUUGUGUAAGUUGGGUGUGAAAGCUCCCGGCUCAACUGGGAGAGGUCGCUCAAGACUGGCGAGCUAGAGUAUGGUAGAGGAAGGUGGAAUUCCGGGUGUAGUGGUGAAAUGCGUAGAUAUCCGGAGGAACACCAGUGGCGAAAGCGGCCUUCUGGGCCAAGACUGACGCUCAGACGCGAAAGCUAGGGUAGCAAACGGGAUUAGAUACCCCGGUAGU